Molecule: ribosomal RNA, 447 nt
Filed under: uncultured bacterium
Lineage: Bacteria
Description: bacterial SSU rRNA
Rfam family: Bacterial small subunit ribosomal RNA
Source: RNAcentral
ACGAACGCUGGCGGUAUGCUUAACACAUGCAAGUCGAACGAAUGCCUUUGGAGCUUGCUUCAAAGUCGUUAGUGGCAAACGGGUGAGUAACACGUGGGAAUCUACCUAUCAGUACGGAAUAACAUUUGGAAACAGAUGCUAAUACCGUAUAUUCUCCUCGGAGGAAAGAUUUAUCGCUGAUAGAUGAGCCCGCGUAAGAUUAGGUAGUUGGUAGGGUAAUGGCCUACCAAGCCGACGAUCUUUAGCUGAUCUGAGAGGAUGAUCAGCCACACUGGGACUGAGACACGGCCCAGACUCCUACGGGAGGCAGCAGUGGGGAAUAUUGGACAAUGGGCGAAAGCCUGAUCCAGCAAUACCGCGUGAAUGAUGAAGGCCUUAGGGUUGUAAAGUUCUUUUAGUUGGGAAGAUAAUGACGGUACCAACAGAAAAAGCCCCGGCUAACUCCGU